UCAUUCAUAAGUUCACUUAGCCAAGUGUGAUAAGUCCAUAGUCCAUUCUAAGGUUUGAUUCAAAUUUGAAUAUUUGGAGGGAUUUUACUUAUUUGAAAAGUAAGACAUUUUGCAUUGAUUUAAAGAGCAUUCUAUUCAAAUAAAGGUCCAUUCAUUUAUUCAUACCAUACUUACUCUGUUCAUUACAAAGGAAAAUAAUAAAAAAUGCAAUUUUUAUAAAGGAUGACUUUUAGUCAACUGUUGACUUCUUGGUCAACAGUUGACCAAAGUCAACCACUAAUUCCUAAAACCCUUUCCCAUUACAAGUGCAAAUACACCUUUGUGCCAACAUGCUUUGGAGUCUUGACCAAGUUACAAACCAAAUCAACCUUUGCCCAUCAUCCAAAAACCUGCAUUAAGUGUAUAUCGAUGCAUUAGUUAGCAUAGCACAACAAAUCCAACACUUCAUAAUAACCUCCAUAUAAUAAUACAAUUACAUUCAAAUUAGAUAGAUAAUCCACAUAUUAUUUCAGCAUACUAGCAGUAGAGAUAGUUUGCAAUUAACAAUCAUUCAAACCCUGCUAGAAAAGCAUUUUAGUCCAUUUCUUUUUUCAUUAACUAUCCAACAUAACUAACUAGUUGAUAAUUAAUUGUAUUUCUAACAUUUCUACCAACAUAAAAGAACCAUAUCUCCUUCAAUCAUUAACAUUCAACCUGAAACUUGCUUAACAGAACAACAGCAGGGCUGCACUGCAACUAACUGAAGUUUGGCACCUGCAGAAUUCUUCAACUCUAAUUCACAAGCUAACUUAACACUCUAACUAUAACUAAUUCAUUAACAGUAGGAGUAACUCUUAACAGAACUUUCCCUAAGUCAUUAACAGAGUUAAGAUAACUAAUUCAAGCUACCAUAACUGAUUUUAAUAGAGGUUCCAACUAACCCUAACUUCCAUCCCUAACUAACAUUCACAUUUGAUCAACACACCAACAAGUCAGUAACUGAAAUUAACCAAUUCAUAACAAACUUAAACUAACUACUAACUAAUUUCUAAUUCCAAGGUAAUUUCAAGUGAAUUUACAUUGCAAUUUAAGUGGAAUUUCUAACUAAUAUUGCCUUUUGUUUUGCAUUUCAUGAGAAUUUCUAACAACUUUGAAACUAUAUAUAAACAUACAUCAUUACAUUUUCGAAUUUGAUGAACAUUCACUCUUCACUCUCACAUUUCAUCUUCAACCUCUCUCCCUCACCCUCUCGAAACGCUUGAAAUCCUCCUAACUGAUAGAGCUUCAACCUCAUAAGCUCUAAGCAGUUGAGCUUAACCUCUGCAUAUCCUCACACGCCACAAGAACGCACACAAUCGAGAAUUCAAAAGAAUCGAGGAAGAAGAAAGAACCAAAUAGGAAGAAGGAGGGAAUUCAGAAGCUUACCUAAAGGCGCAUUCAUCUUCGCGUUCGUUCGCUUUGAGUGCAAUUUUCACCGGGACACUUUUCCGUCUCGUAGGUUGGUGAAAUUCCUCUUUCUCGGCCGUUUCUCCUUUCUAUGACGUAUUUUGUAGUUAGUGGAGCCAAACCUCUAUGUUUUGGACUCGGAAUCAAUCUUUUCUCGCGUUUAAUUCAAGAUUUGGUGAGUUAGCGUUUGUUUGAUUUCGGCUCGAUUUGGAUGUUUGAUUUAAAAUCGGAAAAAUUGGAAGUUGAUUUGUGGUAGAGGACGUUGAGCUGAUGCUAUUGAUGUAUGUUUGGACCUCCGCCUCCGCAGGAGGAAGUUCCCGGCGCGGCAUAGUCAUCGGUUCAGGUCGAUGUUUAGGAACGCGAUAGUUGAGCGUGGAGGAAAGUGAGUUUGUCUUGAGUCCGUUGCAUCCUCGUGUGUUUUGGCCAAAUCCAUUUAGGCCUCAAUCCCAAGAGAUGUUCACACCACUCCAAGUGACAUUCACACCCCCUCUAAUCAAUCAGCUAAGCGCUGGGCCUUGCCUUCCCAGGGCCAAGCGCGUUUUGUUGGCAUAAACCCCAGUUUUGGGCCUUUACCCCCA
This 2003-nucleotide long non-coding RNA is filed under the name Lathyrus oleraceus (garden pea). RNAcentral's name for it is "Pisum sativum (pea) long non-coding RNA (PSAT_LNC036357)". Lineage: Eukaryota; Viridiplantae; Streptophyta; Magnoliopsida; Fabales; Fabaceae. The record is from RNAcentral.